RNAcentral lists this ribosomal RNA (467 nucleotides) under Escherichia coli. Its description in RNAcentral is "bacterial SSU rRNA". It matches the Rfam family "Bacterial small subunit ribosomal RNA", at positions 1034 to 1501 of the family's 1533-position model. Lineage: Bacteria; Pseudomonadati; Pseudomonadota; Gammaproteobacteria; Enterobacterales; Enterobacteriaceae. The record is from RNAcentral.
ACAGGUGCUGCAUGGCUGUCGUCAGCUCGUGUUGUGAAAUGUUGGGUUAAGUCCCGCAACGAGCGCAACCCUUAUCCUUUGUUGCCAGCGGUCCGGCCGGGAACUCAAAGGAGACUGCCAGUGAUAAACUGGAGGAAGGUGGGGAUGACGUCAAGUCAUCAUGGCCCUUACGACCAGGGCUACACACGUGCUACAAUGGCGCAUACAAAGAGAAGCGACCUCGCGAGAGCAAGCGGACCUCAUAAAGUGCGUCGUAGUCCGGAUUGGAGUCUGCAACUCGACUCCAUGAAGUCGGAAUCGCUAGUAAUCGUGGAUCAGAAUGCCACGGUGAAUACGUUCCCGGGCCUUGUACACACCGCCCGUCACACCAUGGGAGUGGGUUGCAAAAGAAGUAGGUAGCUUAACCUUCGGGAGGGCGCUUACCACUUUGUGAUUCAUGACUGGGGUGAAGUCGUAACAAGGUAACC